GAUGAACGCUGGCGGCGUGCCUAAUACAUGCAAGUCGAGCGAACGGACGAGAAGCUUGCUUUUCUGAUGUUAGCGGCGGACGGGUGAGUAACACGUGGAUAACCUACCUAUAAGACUGGGAUAACUUCGGGAAACCGGAGCUAAUACCGGAUAAUAUUUUGAACCGCAUGGUUCAAAAGUGAAAGACGGUCUUGCUGUCACUUAUAGCUGGAUCCGCGCUGCAUUAGCUAGUUGGUAAGGUAACGGCUUACCAAGGCAACGAUGCAUAGCCGACCUGAGAGGGUGAUCGGCCACACGGGAACUGAGACACGGUCCAGACUCCUACGGGAGGCAGCAGUAGGGAAUCUUCCGCAAUGGGCGAAAGCCUGACGGAGCAACGCCGCGUGAGUGAUGAAGGUCUUCGGAUCGUAAAACUCUGUUAUUAGGGAAGAACAUAUGUGUAAGUAACUGUGAACAUCUUGACGGUACCUAAUCAGAAAGCCACGGCUAACUACGUG
This 497-nucleotide ribosomal RNA is filed under the name uncultured bacterium. RNAcentral describes it as "partial 16S ribosomal RNA". It matches the Rfam family "Bacterial small subunit ribosomal RNA", at positions 28 to 507 of the family's 1533-position model. The record is from RNAcentral.